AUGUACCCUUUGGCAUGGGCAGUAGUUGAACAAGAGAACAAUGAUAAUUGGGACUGGUUUUGUUCUUUGCUUUUCAGAGAUGUGAAUGUGCUAGAUGGUGAUGGUUGGGUGAUUAUAUUAGAUCAACAAAAGGUAAUUGUUGUAUACUGGAUGUCAUAA
This 159-nucleotide ribosomal RNA is filed under the name Triticum aestivum (bread wheat). Its description in RNAcentral is "partial small subunit ribosomal RNA". The record is from RNAcentral. Lineage: Eukaryota; Viridiplantae; Streptophyta; Magnoliopsida; Poales; Poaceae.